This is an RNA transcript of Neltuma alba, 2720 nucleotides long. RefSeq lists it as uncharacterized. The transcript is spliced from 15 exons. Lineage: Eukaryota; Viridiplantae; Streptophyta; Magnoliopsida; Fabales; Fabaceae. The record is from RefSeq and is a predicted model, not a curated record.
UAGCCGUUUAUCUAUCGCCAACGUAUUCUCAGAAUCAUCUCUCUCUGGCAGCUCAGUCACAAGAAAACCUACACGACACAGAAGAACAGUGGGCAAUUUCAUUAUUGCCCUGUGAACUGUGAUGAGAAUAAUCGUGUUAGCUCUAAAGGGAAAUGGACGGUCUUGCUCUCGCCACCACAGCCACUUCCGGCAAACCCUUCUUCACUGGCCGAACUCGCCUUUUUUCGUUUUCAUCAGAGAGAAGAAGUGCAAUCAGAAUCUUUUAUUCCAAUAAAAGAUCAAAUACCUUCACAGUUCGUGCCUCACGGGAUGAGGCCCCGAAGCUUGACAGGUUCGACCAGAUGGAACUAAAGUUCGGGCGCUUAAUUGGCGAGGACCCCAAGCUAACCCUAGCCAAGAUAAUGGGAAGAAAGGCGAACCCGGAAGCUUCUUAUCUCGAUAUUGAGAAAUCCUUUUAUAAGAAUAAAGGUAAACUCGUUGAGGUAGAGGAAGUUCCAUUUGAGGGGUCUAAGAGGAAAUCUUCAGGUUCGUUGGAUGAUUUGGGUUUAGUACGACCUGUCCCAGUGAAAGGAACAAACUUCAAAUCUGAGGAUAACAAAACCUCAUCCGAGAUUAAGAAACCAAGCAAACCAGCAAGUAAGGCAGUGAAUGUAACAAAAAGUAGUGUACCAAAUGUUAUCUUAAGAAAGCCAACUGUUUAUAAGGAGGAUGGCAAUGAAGACACUUCAUCAAAGUUGAGAAUAAAACCAAAUCUGUCUCUGAAAAUGCGGAAUGGACAAUCAAAGGACAAGUUUAGCAAUAUGACACUAUUGAGGAAGCCUGAACCAUCAAUUGCAAAGGAGAAUGAUCUGAAGCAAGAGCCUUCUGCUCUUAUGAAUGCCCAAAUGACCAAUGAUAAUGAUUUGAACAUGAGAAAAGAAGAACCGGAUAAUAGGACAUUAUUGAAGAAGCCUGAGCCAUCAAUUCCAAAGGGGACUGAUCAGAAUGUGAAUGCCCAAAUAAGCAAUGGUAAUGAUAUGCAGAUGAGACAAGAAGAACUAGAUGAUAAAACUGGAAACUUGACUUUGCUUGAACGUUCUGACAAAGCAGUGGGCAAAAAGGAUGAGGAAUUUGGAGAUCUGAACGUCACUGUCCCAAAUGAUGGAUUGGACCAAUACGAGCAGAGAAAUUUGGAAUCACAUCAAGAGCAAACUGAUUCCAGUCAUCAUUCAGAUUUAAAUUCAGCUGAUUCUAGAGUCAAGUUGUCUGUUGAAGCUGCACUACAGGGAAAACCACAAAGAUUAGACCGAUCUGGGAAACAAACUUCAAAAUCUACUGGAGAAGUGACUGCUUUUGAGAAUUCUGGAGAUAACAGAAGCACUGUUGAAUUAGAAAAUCUUCUAGUUGUGACGAACUUUCAGGAAAGCGAAGAUGCUGAUUGGACUAGGGCAGAGGAUUUGGUUAAGACUGGAGAUAGGGCAGAUGUGGAACUAAUAAGCUGUAGUACCAGAGGCUUUGUUGCAUCUUUUGGUUCCUUGGUAGGAUUUCUGCCAUAUCGCAAUCUUUCUGCCAAGUGGAAGUUCUUUGCUUUUGAGUCUUGGCUGAGACGAAAGGGCUUGGAUCCAUCAAUGUACAAGCAAAACUUAAGCGUUAUUACAAGUUAUGAUGCUGAAAAGAAGUAUUUCCCUCUUAAUUCUCCUCAAGACAUGAAGAUUGAUAGUAUACUUGAAGGGAAGAUUUCACCAGAUAUGAAAUUGGAAGAUCUGUUGAGGAUUUAUGACCAAGAGAAAAUUAGGUUCUUGUCAUCAUUUAUUGGCCAGAAAGUUAAAGUCAAUAUAGUAUCGGCAGACAGGAAAUUAAGGAAGCUCAUAUUGUCAGUCAGACCAAAAGAGAAGGAAGAGUUUGUUCAGAAGAAGAGAAAUCUCAUGGCUAGGCUUCAAGUUGGUGAUAUAGUAAAAUGUAGCGUCCAGAAAAUAACUUACUUUGGCAUUUUUGUUGAGGUUGAAGGAGUUCCUGCGCUCAUUCAUCAGACAGAAGUAUCAUGGGAUGCGACUUUAGACCCAGCAUCAUAUUUUAAGAUUGGUCAGGUUGUAGAGGCAAAAGUUCACCAACUAGACUUUGCGCAUGAACGCAUAUUUUUGUCAUUAAAGGAGAUCAUGCCUGAUCCGUUGUUGAAGUCGUUGGAGUCUGUAGUUGGGGAUCAUGACCCCAUAGAUGAGAGAUUGGAAGCAGCUGAAAGUGAUGCAGAGUGGUCUGAAGUUGAAUCUCUUAUCCAGGAAUUGCAGCAGAUUGAUGGUAUCCAAUCUGCUGCAAAAGGUCGCUUUUUCAGAAGCCCUGGUUUAGCUCCAACAUUUCAGGUUUAUAUGGCUUCCAUGUUUGAGAAUCAGUACAAGCUGCUUGCUCGAUCUGGAAAUAGAAUACAAGAGGUGAUGGUUCAAACAUCAUUGGAUAAAGAAAAGAUGAAAUCAGCAAUUCUGACAUGUACGAAUAGAGUAGAAUAAUGGAGAUUGCACGAACAGAUGUGGAGCAUUUGUGGUAGUUAAUUAUGCAAAAGGCUGCAGGAGGAAGUAGACUAGAAAGUAGAAAAAGGAGUAUAUGCUAUAUGAGGAGGGUCAGAAUCUUAUUGCUAAUGGAAGCAGAUUUUGAAUUUGGUAAAUUCAUUUGUUUAUAUUUUUUAACAAUAUGUGUUGUCAUUGUUAAUUGUUGAAGAAAGACUAGAGUCCUAAGCUGAGUUUUAUGUU